AACGAACGCUGGCGGCGCGCCUAAUACAUGCAAGUCGAGCGAGAAGGUGUAGCAAUACACUUGUAAAGCGGCGAACGGGUGAGGAAUGCAUGGGUAACCUACCCUCGAGUGGGGAAUAACUAGCCGAAAGGUUAGCUAAUACCGCAUACGUUUCCGGAACUUCGGUUUCGGAAAGAAAGCAAUACCGUGGGUAUUGCGCUCCUGGAUGGGCUCAUGUCCUAUCAGCUUGUUGGUGAGGUAACGGCUCACCAAGGCUUCGACGGGUAGCUGGUCUGAGAGGACGAUCAGCCACACUGGCACUGCGGCACGGGCCAGACUCCUACGGGAGGCAGCAGUAAGGAAUAUUGCGCAAUGGACGAAAGUCUGACGCAGCGACGCCGCGUGGGGGAUGAAGGUCUUCGGAUUGU
RNAcentral lists this ribosomal RNA (407 nucleotides) under uncultured bacterium. RNAcentral's name for it is "bacterial SSU rRNA". It matches the Rfam family "Bacterial small subunit ribosomal RNA", at positions 29 to 426 of the family's 1533-position model. The record is from RNAcentral.